GAGUUUGAUCGUGGCUCAGAUUGAACGCUGGCGGCAGGCCUAACACAUGCAAGUCGAGCGGAUGACGGGAGCUUGCUCCUUGAUUCAGCGGCGGACGGGUGAGUAAUGCCUGGGGAAUCUGCCUGGUAGUGGGGGACAACGUUUCGAAAGGAACGCUAAUACCGCAUACGUCCUACGGGAGAAAGCAGGGGACCUUCGGGCCUUGCGCUAUCAGAUGAGCCUAGGUCGGAUUAGCUAGUUGGUGGGGUAAUGGCUCACCAAGGCGACGAUCCGUAACUGGUCUGAGAGGAUGAUCAGUCACACUGGAACUGAGACACGGUCCAGACUCCUACGGGAGGCAGCAGUGGGGAAUAUUGGACAAUGGGCGAAAGCCUGAUCCAGCCAUGCCGCGUGUGUGAAGAAGGUCUUCGGGAUUGUAAAGCACGUUUAAGUUGGGAGGAAGGGCAGUAAGUUAAUACCUUGCUGUUUUGACGUUACCGACAGAAUAAGCACCGGCUAAC
This 500-nucleotide ribosomal RNA is filed under the name bacterium enrichment culture clone ALO1_GLFRUDD03G0SQD. RNAcentral describes it as "bacterial SSU rRNA". It matches the Rfam family "Bacterial small subunit ribosomal RNA", at positions 9 to 501 of the family's 1533-position model. The record is from RNAcentral.